Molecule: unclassified non-coding RNA, 289 nt
Organism: Ictidomys tridecemlineatus (thirteen-lined ground squirrel)
Lineage: Eukaryota; Metazoa; Chordata; Mammalia; Rodentia; Sciuridae
Gene: 7SK
Rfam family: 7SK RNA
About the family: 7SK was discovered as an abundant small nuclear RNA in the mid-70s but a possible function has only recently been suggested.
Source: Ensembl
GGGUGGGAGGGCAAUUGGGCUGCAAUAUGUCACCCUUCUGAUCACCAGGGUUGAUUCAGCUGAACUGGCUGGCUAGGCAAGUGUCCCCAUCCUCCCUCAUUGCUCCAUGUGCAUCCCUCCUGAAGCUGCACAUUAGGUCAAAGGGGACCUGGUACAAGAAGACUACUCUUCAAUCAAGGUUACAUGAGUAGCUGCAUUCCUCUGCUAGAACUUCCAAACAAGCUCUUAAGCAAUGCAAAACCCUAGGCCGUCCCCAAACCUACUGACUCAGAAACUCUGAAGGUAAAGU